RNAcentral lists this transfer RNA (62 nucleotides) under Paenibacillus germinis. Its description in RNAcentral is "Paenibacillus sp. LMG 31460 tRNA-Ala". Lineage: Bacteria; Bacillati; Bacillota; Bacilli; Caryophanales; Paenibacillaceae. The record is from RNAcentral.
AACUCAGUUGGGAGAGCGCAUCGCUGGCAGCGAUGAGGUUAGGGGUUCGAUCCCUCUAAGCU